This 1068-nucleotide ribosomal RNA is filed under the name Peptostreptococcus sp. oral taxon 113. RNAcentral's name for it is "bacterial SSU rRNA". It matches the Rfam family "Bacterial small subunit ribosomal RNA", at positions 28 to 1099 of the family's 1533-position model. The record is from RNAcentral. Lineage: Bacteria; Bacillati; Bacillota; Clostridia; Peptostreptococcales; Peptostreptococcaceae.
GAUGAACGUUGGCGACGUGCCUAACACAUGCAAGUCGAGCGGUGAGAAGUGGACUUAAUCUUCGGAAAGAGGAAACUUGGAACAGCGGCGGACGGGUGAGUAAUACAUGAGCAACCUGCCUUGGACAGAGGGAUAGCCGUGGGAAACUGCGAUUAAUACCUCAUAAGACCCCACUAUCGCAUGAUAGAGAGGUUAAAGAUUCAUCGGUCCAAGAUGGGCUCAUGACCCAUUAGCUAGUUGGUGAGAUAACAGCCCACCAAGGCGACGAUGGGUAGCCGGCUUGAGAGAGUGACCGGCCACAUUGGAACUGAGACACGGUCCAGACUCCUACGGGAGGCAGCAGUGGGGAAUAUUGCACAAUGGAGGAAACUCUGAUGCAGCGACGUCGCGUGAGCGAAGAAGGUUUUCGAAUCGUAAAGCUCUGUCCUAUGGGAAGAAGAAAGACGGUACCAUAGAAGAAAGCCCCGGCUAACUACGUGCCAGCAGCCGCGGUAAUACGUAGGGGGCGAACGUUAUCCGGAAUGAUUGGGCGUAAAGGGUACGUAGGCGGACCUGUAAGUCAGGUGUGAAAGGCAUGGGCUCAACCCAUGUAAGCACUUGAAACUGCGGGUCUUGAGGGAAGGAGAGGUAAGUGGAAUUCCUAGUGUAGCGGUGAAAUGCGUAGAUAUUAGGAGGAAUACCGGUGGCGAAGGCGACUUACUGGACUUUUACUGACGCUGAGGUACGAAAGCGUGGGGAGCAAACAGGAUUAGAUACCCUGGUAGUCCACGCCGUAAAUGGUGAGUGCUAGGUGUCGGGAGUCAAAUCUCGGUGCCGACGUUAACACAUUAAGCACUCCGCCUGGGGAGUACGCACGCAAGUGUGAAACUCAAAGGAAUUGACGGGGACCCGCACAAGCAGCGGAGCAUGUGGUUUAAUUCGAUGCAACGCGAAAAACCUUACCAGGACUUGACAUAUGGAUGCCCGGUAUAGAGUUAUACCCUUUCUUCGGAACAUUCAUACAGGUGGUGCAUGGUUGUCGUCAGCUCGUGUCGUGAGAUGUUGGGGUUAAGUCCCGCAAACGAGCGC